This 343-nucleotide unclassified non-coding RNA is filed under the name soil metagenome. RNAcentral describes it as "partial contains 5.8S ribosomal RNA, internal transcribed spacer 2, and large subunit ribosomal RNA". The stretch from base 1 to 120 matches the Rfam family "5.8S ribosomal RNA", at positions 35 to 154 of the family's 154-position model. The record is from RNAcentral.
GAUGAAGAACGUAGCGAAAUGCGAUAAGUAAUGUGAAUUGCAGAAUUCAGUGAAUCAUCGAAUCUUUGAACGCACAUUGCGCCCACCAGCAUUCUGGCGGGCAUGCCUGUUCGAGCGUCAUUUCAACCCUCGAGCCCCCCCGGGGGCCUCGGUGUUGGGGGACGGCACACCAGCCGCCCCCGAAAUGCAGUGGCGACCCCGCCGCAGCCUCCCCUGCGUAGUAGCACACACCUCGCACCGGAGCGCGGAGGCGGUCACGCCGUAAAACGCCCAACUUUCUUAGAGUUGACCUCGGAUCAGGUAGGAAUACCCGCUGAACUUAAGCAUAUCAAUAAGCGGAGGA